UACGUAGGGUGCAAGCGUUAAUCGGAAUUACUGGGCGUAAAGCGUGCGCAGGCGGUUGUGCAAGACCGAUGUGAAAUCCCCGGGCUUAACCUGGGAAUGGCAUUGGUGACUGCACGGCUAGAGUGUGUCAGAGGGGGGUAGAAUUCCACGUGUAGCAGUGAAAUGCGUAGAGAUGUGGAGGAACACCGAUGGCGAAGGCAGCCUCCUGGGCCAACACUGACGCUCAUGCACGAAAGCGUGGGGAGCAAACAGG
This 253-nucleotide ribosomal RNA is filed under the name uncultured bacterium. Its description in RNAcentral is "partial 16S ribosomal RNA". It matches the Rfam family "Bacterial small subunit ribosomal RNA", at positions 524 to 776 of the family's 1533-position model. The record is from RNAcentral.